This 231-nucleotide ribosomal RNA is filed under the name uncultured bacterium. Its description in RNAcentral is "partial 16S ribosomal RNA". It matches the Rfam family "Bacterial small subunit ribosomal RNA", at positions 118 to 350 of the family's 1533-position model. The record is from RNAcentral.
UGGGCAACCUGCCCCCGACCCUGGGAUAACCCCGGGAAACCGGAGCUAAUACCGGAUACUCUCCUCUGACCACCUGGUCGGAUGAGGAAAGGUCCGCCGGUCGGGAUGGGCCCGCGGCCUAUCAGCUUGUUGGUGGGGUAACGGCCUACCAAGGCAUCGACGGGUAGCUGGUCUGAGAGGACGACCAGCCACACUGGGACUGAGACACGGCCCAGACUCCUACGGGAGGCA